GAAGGCGGGAUAUUUAAGCUGUCAUGGCCUGCCCACUGUUUUUAUUUGGCCUGCUGCCACACAUGUAGCGUUUCAGAGGGAAGCUAACCUGCAAAACGCCAGUUCUGGGAAGAAAUCAUCGUCGUGCUCUUCACUGUUCGGGUUAGCUGUCGGCCUCAAACUUUCACUUCAGGCUAAGAAACGGAGAUUGUUUCUGCGGUCUACAAACAUUUCACAUCUCUUCACUUCGGCAAAGCUAAGUGCCUGUUGUUUUUUUGUGACUUCGAUUUGAAAGAGAGAAACGCAUGCAUGCAAGCACGAGGCAGACACAGACUACAACAGGACAACGUGGAGAGGCAACAGGACGUCCAGUGUCCCAUCAUCCAUCCUGUUCUGUCAUCCAGAUUUGAUUCUUCCAUUGGAUUCUCCUUCAUGUGGAUCUCAGAUAAACAAAACAAAAGAGGCCUCUAACAUUUAAAGAAAAAAAUUACUAUCCGGGUAGAUGCGGACAGUGAAAUGUUUUUUUUUUUCUUGAAUUGAACUGAACUAAACGGGGGUUUUGCAAAUUUGUCUUUUAAUUUGGGAGGGAAUUUUGUGAUCUCAUUGGAAUGUGUACGAUAUACAGUUAAACUGAGAGACUAGAGUGUCUUAUUGUGUUCCUUUAUGUCUGUGAAAUAAAUGCCGGCCAUUAUUAUUUUCUAAGAAAAGUGAUCAGUGAUCAGGAUCAGCUAUCAUUCAUGCCUAAAGCUGUUACAAUACUACAUACUAUACCUUAUACAGUACAUAUGGCAUACUGCGGUUGCCAGUACUAUGUAGUAGGCGGUUCCGAAUACAGCCAUAGUUUACACUAAUACCCCUGAGUCCAAUCUUAGACCCUUUUAAUGUAGUAUUCAAUUCCCUUUGCAGAUUUAUUUUGAACUGUCCAUUUAAAACCCAUCAUUGUCUUAUGUAUGACUCAAUAAACUAGUUGCAACCUAAACCAUGAAGGGAUUACCACAGGUCUCUGUUCAUAUUUAAAUGUUUUUAUUCCAGCUGUCCUGCAUACCUUAAACAGUAUUUAAUUCCUGAUCGCUCGACAUACUCACUUAGGCACCUCCAAAUUCCAACAUUUUUUACAGUACAAAGGUUAUUUUCUGUAGCUGGUUGGAGAGCAGGUCAAUAUAAACCCCAAGACUGGAAUAACCUUCCUCUUUUCUUGAGAUCUAUUUCCACUUUUGGUUUAUUCAAAUCACUUUUGCAGCCAGGGUACAAACAGGGUACCAAUGGUAUUGCAUAUAAAUAGUUUAUGUGGAAAAUAUGCAGUAGUUUGAAUAUAAUCAUGGCUUUCUUUAUUUUGUUUUUCUUUAUCUUGACUUUCUUUGGACAUUUCUAUGUUAGAUGUGACUUUAUCCUGUAUGUUACAUUUGUGAUAGUUGUAUGUUACAUUUGCAUUAGUUUAAUGCACUCUGCUGAUUAUUUUGUCUAUGUACUUCAAAUUGUUUGCUAUGUUAAUGUAGUGGUAUGGGCAGGUGAGCGAGUUAUUUUUUUGUGUAUAUAUACUGUGUGGUCAACCUUUGUGUCUGUACUGUGUACUGUCCUGAAAUAAAUUCAAAUCUAAAUAGAAAUUCAAAAA
Long non-coding RNA from Micropterus salmoides (largemouth bass), 1591 nucleotides. RefSeq lists it as uncharacterized. The record is from RefSeq and is a predicted model, not a curated record. Lineage: Eukaryota; Metazoa; Chordata; Actinopteri; Centrarchiformes; Centrarchidae. The transcript is spliced from 2 exons.